Molecule: transfer RNA, 71 nt
Filed under: Scleropages formosus (Asian bonytongue)
Lineage: Eukaryota; Metazoa; Chordata; Actinopteri; Osteoglossiformes; Osteoglossidae
Description: tRNA-Tyr
Source: RNAcentral
GCUGGUAGCUUAGUGGUUAGCGCUGCUGGCUGUAGGCCAGCGGGUUAGUGGUUUGAAUCUUCUCUCUAGCU